GACGGAGGAUGCAAGCGUUAUCCGGAAUGAUUGGGCGUAAAGCGUCCGCAGGUGGCAGUUCAAGUCUGCUGUCAAAGACCGGGGCUUAACUUCGGAAAGGCAGUGGAAACUGAACAGCUAGAGUAUGGUAGGGGCAGAGGGAAUUCCUGGUGUAGCGGUGAAAUGCGUAGAGAUCAGGAAGAACAUCGGUGGCGAAGGCGGGUUGCUGGGCUGACACUGACGCUGAGGCGCGAAAGCCAGGGGAGCGAACGGG
RNAcentral lists this ribosomal RNA (253 nucleotides) under uncultured bacterium. RNAcentral describes it as "partial 16S ribosomal RNA". It matches the Rfam family "Bacterial small subunit ribosomal RNA", at positions 524 to 776 of the family's 1533-position model. The record is from RNAcentral.